CAAAAGAAGUAGGUAGCUUAACCUUCGGGAGGGCGCUUACCACUUUGUGAUUCAUGACUGGGGUGAAGUCGUAACAAGGUAACCGUAGGGGAACCUGCGGUUGGAUCACCUCCUUACCU
RNAcentral lists this ribosomal RNA (119 nucleotides) under Morganella psychrotolerans. Its description in RNAcentral is "partial 16S ribosomal RNA". It matches the Rfam family "Bacterial small subunit ribosomal RNA", at positions 1418 to 1533 of the family's 1533-position model. RNAcentral also lists the same sequence under 1 other name. The record is from RNAcentral. Lineage: Bacteria; Pseudomonadati; Pseudomonadota; Gammaproteobacteria; Enterobacterales; Morganellaceae.